UUUGAUCCUGGCUCAGAACGAACGCUGGCGGCAGGCCUAACACAUGCAAGUCGAGCGCACCCUUCGGGGCGAGCGGCGGACGGGUUAGUAACGCGUGGGAACAUACCCUUUUCUACGGAAUAGCCUCGGGAAACUGAGAGUAAUACCGUAUAAGCCCUUCGGGGGAAAGAUUUAUCGGGAAAGGAUUGGCCCGCGUUAGAUUAGAUAGUUGGUGGGGUAAUGGCCUACCAAGUCUACGAUCUAUAGCUGGUUUUAGAGGAUGAUCAGCAACACUGGGACUGAGACACGGCCCANACUCCUACGGGAGGCAGCAGUGGGGAAUCUUAGACAAUGGGCGCAAGCCUGAUCUANCCAUGCCGCGUGUGUGAUGAAGGCCUUAGGGUCGUAAAGCACUUUCGCUAGGGAUGAUAAUGACAGUACCUAGUAAAGAAACCCCGGCUAACUCCGUGCCAGCAGCCGCGGUAAUAAGGG
This 471-nucleotide ribosomal RNA is filed under the name uncultured bacterium. Its description in RNAcentral is "bacterial SSU rRNA". It matches the Rfam family "Bacterial small subunit ribosomal RNA", at positions 12 to 529 of the family's 1533-position model. The record is from RNAcentral.